Molecule: ribosomal RNA, 389 nt
Filed under: uncultured bacterium
Lineage: Bacteria
Description: bacterial SSU rRNA
Rfam family: Bacterial small subunit ribosomal RNA
Source: RNAcentral
AUUAAACGCUGGCGGCAUGCCUUACACAUGCAAGUCGAACGGCAGCACGGGGGCAACCCUGGUGGCGAGUGGCGGACGGGUGAGUAAUACAUCGGAACGUGCCCUGGAGUGGGGGGAUAACGCAGCGAAAGCUACGCUAAUACCGCAUAUUCUGUGAGCAGGAAAGCAGGGGAUCGCAAGACCUUGCGCUUUGGGAGCGGCCGAUGUCGGAUUAGCUAGUUGGUGGGGUAAAGGCCUACCAAGGCGACGAUCCGUAGCGGGUCUGAGAGGAUGAUCCGCCACACUGGGACUGAGACACGGCCCAGACUCCUACGGGAGGCAGCAGUGGGGAAUUUUGGGACAAUGGGCGGAAGCCUGAUCCAGCCAUGCCGCGUGAGUGAAGAAGGCCU